CCUACGGGGGGCAGCAGUGAGGAAUAUUGGUCAAUGGACGAGAGUCUGAACCAGCCAAGUAGCGUGAAGGAUGACUGCCCUACGGGUUGUAAACUUCUUUUAUAAAGGAAUAAAGUGAGUCACGUGUGCCUUAUUGCAUGUACCUUAUGAAUAAGGAUCGGCUAACUCCGUGCCAGCAGCCGCGGUAAUACGGAGGAUCCGAGCGUUAUCCGGAUUUAUUGGGUUUAAAGGGAGCGGAGAUGGGUUGUUAAGUCAGUUGUGAAAGUUUGCGGCUCAACCGUAAAAUUGCAGUUGAUACUGGCAGUCUUGAGUGCAGUUGAGGUAGGCGGAAUUCGUGGUGUAGCGGUGAAAUGCUUAGAUAUCACGAAGAACUCCGAUUGCGAAGGCAGUUCACUGGACUGCAACUGACGCUGAGGCUCGAAAGUGUGGGUAUCGAACAGGAUUAGAGACCCGGGUAGUC
This 460-nucleotide ribosomal RNA is filed under the name uncultured bacterium. Its description in RNAcentral is "partial 16S ribosomal RNA". It matches the Rfam family "Bacterial small subunit ribosomal RNA", at positions 338 to 795 of the family's 1533-position model. The record is from RNAcentral.